This 346-nucleotide ribosomal RNA is filed under the name uncultured bacterium. Its description in RNAcentral is "bacterial SSU rRNA". It matches the Rfam family "Bacterial small subunit ribosomal RNA", at positions 8 to 352 of the family's 1533-position model. The record is from RNAcentral.
AGAGUUUGAUCCUGGCUCAGAACGAACGUUGGCGGCGUGCCUAAUACAUGCAAGUCGUGCGAGAAACUUCCCUUCGGGGAAGGAGUACAGCGGCGAAAGGGUGAGUAAUACGUGGACAAUCUACCCCGGAGUCCGGGAUAACUCAGGGAAACUUGGGCUAAUACCGGAUGGCAUCCCGAGACCACCUGGCCUUGGGAUUAAAGCUCCGGCGCUCCGGGAGGGGUUCACGGCCUAUCAGCUUGUUGGCGGGGUAACGGCCCACCAAGGCUUUGACGGGUAGCCGGACUGAGAGGUUGGCCGGCCACAUGGGCACUGAGACACGGGUCCAACACCUACGGGUGGCUGC